This 138-nucleotide small nucleolar RNA is filed under the name Ornithorhynchus anatinus (platypus). The record is from RNAcentral. Lineage: Eukaryota; Metazoa; Chordata; Mammalia; Monotremata; Ornithorhynchidae.
AUCCUCUCAGGAUCACACCUGGAGAGUUUCCAGGACUCUACCAAUCUCAGCUACGGGAGGGAGAGUCAAGCAGAGGCAUCGCCAUUUCAUUCCUAGCUUGGGCAGUGGCUAGCGAGUGGAAGGCAAUCUGCUACAAGU